Molecule: transfer RNA, 89 nt
Filed under: Flexilinea flocculi
Lineage: Bacteria; Bacillati; Chloroflexota; Anaerolineae; Anaerolineales; Anaerolineaceae
Description: tRNA-Ser
Rfam family: tRNA
About the family: Transfer RNA (tRNA) molecules are approximately 80 nucleotides in length. Their secondary structure includes four short double-helical elements and three loops (D, anti-codon, and T loops).
Source: RNAcentral
GGAGAGAUCGCAUAGCUGGUCUAGUGCGCGCGCUUGGAGAGCGCGUAUAUCGAAAGGUAUCGUGGGUUCGAAUCCCACUCUCUCCGCAA